AAAAUAAAAAUUAAUAAUGGGGGUUAUUAAUAAAAAAAAUUUUAUUGUGUUAAGUUUUAAGUAGGGUUAUUUGAAAAAAUUUAAUAUUUUAUAGUUAAUUAGUAUUGUGAAAGAAUUUUGAAAAUAUAUGAAAAUAAAUUUAUUAAAAAGUAAUUUUAAUUUAAUGUAUCUUGUGUAUCAGAGUUUAUUAAUAAAAUAAUUAUUUUUAAUUUUUUUCGAAUUUAAAAGAGAUAAUUAUUUAUUAAAGUUAUUUUUGCAUAAAUAUUUUAAAUAAUUAAUUUGAAAUGAGAUGUUAAUCGUUUUUAAAUAUAUCUAAUUUUUUUAGAAAAAAAUUUAAUUUUAAAUUAAUUUAAUAAUUGAUUUAUUUUUUUUUUAUAAUUUUAUUAUUAAAUUAAUUUUAUAUUUUAAGGGAUAAGCUUUAAAUUAAAUUUUUAUAAUUUUUUAUAUUUUUAAUUAAAAUUUUUAUUAUUUAUAUUGUAAAUAAAUUUUAUUUUAUUAUAAAUAAUUUUAUAUUUAUUUAAAAUUUAAUUUAAAUUUAAUUUUUUAUAAAAAAAAAUUUUUUUAAUUUAAUAAAAUAUGAUAUAAUGAUAAAAUUAGUAUAUAAAUUUAAUUUAAUAAAAUAUUAUUUAUAUUUAUUAAUUUUAAAUAAUUCGGCAAAAUUUUAUGUCCACUUGUUUAUCAAAAACAUGUCUUUUUGAUUUUAAUUUAAAGUUUAAUCUGCCCACUGAUGAAAAUUAAAGGGCUGCAGUAUUUUGACUGUACAAAGGUAGCAUAAUCAUUAGUCUUUUAAAUGGUGACUUGUAUGAAUGAUUGGAUGAGAUAUAAGCUGUCUUAAAUUUAUUUGAUAGAAUUUAAUUUUUUAAUUAAAAAGUUAAAAUACAUUAAAAAGACGAGAAGACCCUAUAGAGUUUUAUAAGUAUAAUUAAAUUAAGAAUAUUUAUAAAAUUAAAAUUAUUUAAAAUUUGUUUAUUUAUUUGAUUGGGGUGAUUAAAAAAUUUAAUUAACUUUUUUUAAUUUUUAACAUAGAUAAAUGAUUUAAUGGAUCCAAUUUUAUUGAUUGAAAGAAAAAAUUACCUUAGGGAUAACAGCGUAAUUUUUUUUUUUAGUUCAUAUAAGAAAAAGAGUUUGCGACCUCGAUGUUGGAUUAAGAUGAAAUUUAAAUGUAAAAGUUUGAGUGUUUUGAUCUGUUCGAUCAUUAAAAUCUUACAUGAUCUGAGUUCAAACCGGUGUAAGCCAGGUUGGUUUCUAUCUUUUAGGAAAAAUAAUAUUUUAGUACGAAAGGAUCGAGUAUUAAAAUUAAAUUUAAUAUUUAAAGAAUAUUAUUAAAAUUUAUUUAAAAUUAAUAAAAUUAUAAAAUUUGUUUAGUUUAAUAUAAUAAUGAAUGAUAAUGGGAUUUUUAUUGUUAAUAAUAAAAAUUUAUUUAAUUAAUUUUAAUUUAUAGUAUAUUUAAUUUAUUAGUAU
RNAcentral lists this ribosomal RNA (1461 nucleotides) under Dendrolimus punctatus (masson pine moth). RNAcentral's name for it is "16S ribosomal RNA". Lineage: Eukaryota; Metazoa; Arthropoda; Insecta; Lepidoptera; Lasiocampidae. The record is from RNAcentral.